RNAcentral lists this transfer RNA (73 nucleotides) under Gammaproteobacteria bacterium. RNAcentral describes it as "tRNA-Met". The record is from RNAcentral. Lineage: Bacteria; Pseudomonadati; Pseudomonadota; Gammaproteobacteria.
GGCGAGAGCCUGAUCCUUCGGCCUGGCACUCAUAAUGCCGGGGUCGAGGGUUCGAGUCCCUCCCUUUCCACCA